Nicotiana attenuata is the source of this 72-nucleotide non-coding RNA. Lineage: Eukaryota; Viridiplantae; Streptophyta; Magnoliopsida; Solanales; Solanaceae. The record is from Rfam.
UGGAGUAUAGCCAAGUGGUAAGGCAUCGGUUUUUGGGACCGGCAUGCAAAGGUUCGAAUCCUUUUACUCCAA